RNAcentral lists this ribosomal RNA (437 nucleotides) under Wolbachia endosymbiont of Aphis gossypii. RNAcentral describes it as "bacterial SSU rRNA". It matches the Rfam family "Bacterial small subunit ribosomal RNA", at positions 992 to 1428 of the family's 1533-position model. The record is from RNAcentral. Lineage: Bacteria; Pseudomonadati; Pseudomonadota; Alphaproteobacteria; Rickettsiales; Anaplasmataceae.
CAUACCUAUUCGAAGGGAUAGGGUCGGUUUGGCCGGAUUUCACACAGGUGUUGCAUGGCUGUCGUCAGCUCGUGUCGUGAGAUGUUGGGUUAAGUCCCGCAACGAGCGCAACCCUCAUCCUUAGUUACCAUCAGGUUAUGCUGGGGACUUUAAGGAAACUGCCAGUGAUAAACUGGAGGAAGGUGGGGAUGAUGUCAAGUCAUCAUGGCCCUUAUGGAGGGGGCUACACACGUGCUACAAUGGUGAUUACAAUGGGCUGCAAGGUCGCAAGGCUGAGCUAAUCCUAAAAAAUCAUCUCAGUUCGGAUUGUUCUCUGCAACUCGAGAGCAUGAAGUUGGAAUCGCUAGUAAUCGAGGAUCAGCAUGCCACGGUGAAUACGUUCUCGGGUCUUGUACACACUGCCCGUCACGCCAUGGGAAUUGGUUUCACUCGAAGCU